RNAcentral lists this long non-coding RNA (350 nucleotides) under Homo sapiens (human). Its description in RNAcentral is "HSALNT0358907". The record is from RNAcentral. Lineage: Eukaryota; Metazoa; Chordata; Mammalia; Primates; Hominidae.
CAAGGUUACUGCUGAAAUGGAAAACUAAGUGACACAUGGCUUGAAAACUCUCAGAAUCACUGGCAUUCCCUGGUCAAGUUGAGUGGAACAAAUCACUCCCCAAACAAAAUGAAGUUUUGACUCUAUAGAGCCAAUGGAUGUGGACCCUGGACUUAGAAAGAGAUUUGUAAACAAACCAGAGAACACCGAAGAGCUGCUCCUUCGCACUGAAAUGGUUUGCUGGCUUUCUGCCUAGAUCCGACAUCUCUUCAAAUGGACAGUCCCAACUCUCCUUCUCUCACUUCUCUUCCCCCUUCUCUGUAAGUCACAAAUGCUGCAUUUGGAGGAACUUCAUUUUAACUAGGAUAAAC